RNAcentral lists this ribosomal RNA (235 nucleotides) under uncultured bacterium. RNAcentral's name for it is "partial 16S ribosomal RNA". It matches the Rfam family "Bacterial small subunit ribosomal RNA", at positions 99 to 334 of the family's 1533-position model. The record is from RNAcentral.
CGGACGGGUGAGUAACGCGUGGGUAACCUGCCUUGUACUGGGGGACAACAGUUAGAAAUGACUGCUAAUACCGCAUAAGCGCACAGUAUCGCAUGAUACAGUGUGAAAAACUCCGGUGGUACAAGAUGGACCCGCGUCUGAUUAGCUAGUUGGUAAGGUAAGGGCUUACCAAGGCGACGAUCAGUAGCCGACCUGAGAGGGUGACCGGCCACAUUGGGACUGAGACACGGCCCAA